Molecule: long non-coding RNA, 1576 nt
Filed under: Equus asinus (donkey)
Lineage: Eukaryota; Metazoa; Chordata; Mammalia; Perissodactyla; Equidae
Description: lncRNA (ENSEASG00005028850.1)
Rfam family: Eukaryotic large subunit ribosomal RNA (bases 166-268)
Source: RNAcentral
GCCGCGCGCGCGGCCCCCCGCGUCGGCGCGGCGCGCCCCCCGCCGCGCGUCGGGACCGGGGUCCGGUGCGGAGAGCCCCUCGUCCCGGGACAUGGGGCGCGGCCGGAAAGGCGGCCGCCCCCCCCUCGCCCGUCACGCAGCGCACGUUCGUGGGGAACCUGGCGCUAAACCAUUCGUAGACGACCUGCUUCUGGGUCAGGGUUUCGUACGUAGCAGAGCAGCUCCCUCGCUGCGAUCUAUUGAAAGUCAGCCCUCGACACAAGGGUUUGUCUCGGUCGGUCCUUCCCCGACCGCCCCUCUCCGGCGCGGCCCCGCCGCCGGCCGCCGACCGGCGGCCGGCGGAGGUCGAGCGGAAGGCGCGGGCGGGGCGCCCCUCCGGCGCGUCCCCCGCCUCGGCGCCCCGCCGCCCCCUCUCCGACCCCCGCCGGGGCCUCGCCCCGGGCUGGGACGGGGGAAGGGGAGGGCGGCGGGCGCGGCCGAGCGGUGGGCCGCCGGAGGGCGGCCCCGCGGCCCCUUUCCCAGGGGGGGCCGCGGGCCGGGGGGCCUCGGCGGUGCGCUCGCGGCGCGGACGCCGCCCGGGGCGGCCGCGGUCCGACGGCCGCCGCGCCUCGCGGGCGCGGCGUGCCGGCGGGUCGGCGUGCCGGCCGGUGCAUGGCCCUUGCGCUUCCCCGCCCCGCGCCUCUCUCUCUCUCUCCGCCCGCGUGGCGGGUCGACCAGCAUCCCGCCGCGUGGUUCGACCCGCCGCGGAGGCGUGGGUGGGGCGAGAGAGGGAAGGUGCGCCGGCGGGAGGCCGGGCGCGGGCGCGGGCGCGGGCGCCGCGCCGGGCUCGCCCGGGCCGGGCGGAGGGGUCGACCAGCUGUCCGGCCCGGACUCGGUCCCCGGACCGGGGCGCGCGGGUCGACCAGAUGACCGCGCCGAGCGCCGCGGGGACGCGGGGCUCUCGGCGGCCUGGGUGGGCUCCCCGGCCUCCGUCGGCUCCAGAGACCCCGCGGACUCGCGGGUGCGGCUCCCCGGUGGCCGACGCCCUGCCGGGUCGACCGGCGGCCCGGGCCCGGGCCCGGGCCCGGGUUCCGGCGGCGGCGCGGGUCGACCAGAUGUCCGCGCGGGGCGCACGCUCUUCUCGGAGCCCCGAGGGCUACGCGGAGGCCGCGGACGAGCAGCCGCGAGGCCGCCGGGGCCGCCGCCCUGCCUGGUCGACCAGCUGUCCGGCUCGGACUUGGUCCCCGGACCGGGGCGCGCGGGUCGACCAGAUGUCCGCGGCGCUCGGGGCCGGGUCCCGGGGCUCUGGGUGCUCUGGGUGCUCUGGGUGCGCUCCCGGCCCUCUGUCGGCUCCGAAGGCCCCGCGGACUCGUAGCCACGGGGUCCGGCGGCGCGCGGGUCGACCAGAUGUCCGCGCCGAGCGCCGCGGGACCGCAGGGCGCUCGGCCUUCUCGGAGGCUCGAGGGCUCCGGCGACCCGGCGGACGAGCAGCGGCGAGGCCGCUGGGGCCGCCGCCCUGCCGGGUCGACCGGCGACCCGGCCCCCGGGUCUCGGGUCUCGGGGGGGUGGGCGGGUCGACCAGAUGUCCGCACCGAGC